Molecule: long non-coding RNA, 1642 nt
Filed under: Homo sapiens (human)
Lineage: Eukaryota; Metazoa; Chordata; Mammalia; Primates; Hominidae
Description: HSALNT0281789
Source: RNAcentral
GUACAUUUCAGGUUAAUAGAGAACUACAUUUUGGGUUUUAAAAAGGCAGCAAUAAUUAUAUUUUGGCUUUUAGUCUAGAUGCUUAACAUAAUUAAGGCAACAGUUCAAGCUGUGGCCUUUUAAGUGAAGGUAGUUAAAAUUUAAGAACAACCAUCAUAAUCUCUUGCAACCUACAUACACUGUUUAAUGCUUACAUGGAAUGAAACCAGUGUUCUUAAUUGGCAUGUUACACACACACACACACACAAACAGAAUUUUUUAAAAAAUCAAAGGCAAUCAUUCUAAAGGUACUAUGGUAGCAUGUUAAAAAUGCAAAUAUGCUAUAGAACUAAAGUAAUAUGAACAGCACUACUCAUUACCUAGGAGAAAGGUGACUGGUUUUCACACAAAGCUAAACCUGUAUCAGUCAUCCUAAUCACAAUGGCUUAAAAAAGCAUCAGGUUUCCAGUAGAGGAACUAUUCUAGGAAAGUCAGUAAAUCUCUUGAAAGUUUCACCUCUGUAAAACCAGGAUAAGGCUACAACUAUUUGGAAAUCUGAACAAGGUAUCAGAUGAAAUAGUAAGAUUCCCAAUCAUAAUGUAAGAUAGAAGGCCAGGUCCUCAUGCAGCAUAUGCUCGCUGGCUCUGGGAAAGCUACAUGUGCAUAAUACCGAAGUUGCCAAAGAAGGAAACUGGAGACGUUCAGUUAUAUUUCCAUGGUGCCGUGAAUUUUAAACCUCAGAAAUGGUGUGGUCCAUUAGGCUUUUCAUAAUGCUUGGUGCCAUCUGCUUAAUAAUAUGUUCAAAGAUAAAAGCAGGCAUGAUUGUAAUAGUAACUACAGUCCCAGAUGUUGACAGUAUGUCUGCAGUUUGAGAGUCCUUCGAUUCAAUGACAUUCUGUCCAUUGAUUUCACAGAUGUUAUGUUCUGUGAGAAGACCAUUUCUGGCUGCAGAGCUAUCUUUCACUAUGGAUGUUAUUUGUCCAUUUUUAAAGAUAAAACCAACAUGUCCAGUGCUAUCCUUAUGCAUGGUAAUCGUCCAUUCAAACGGCCUGUCAUGAAUGGUCAUGGUAAUCUCUCCAAAAUUCUGUUUGAGCACCUUGUGUGCUUUAUCAGAGCUCUACCCUGCACAGUUUUCACUAUUAAUCUGGAGUACUUGGUCCUCAAUUCUCAGACCAACCAAUGAGGCUGGAGAAUUAGCCUGGACUAGCUGAACAAAUAUACCAUUAUCUAUUGAUUUAAGCCUGAGUCCAAUUUUUCCAUUGUGAUCCUUACACAAAAUGACUUCACAAAUCCCUUGCUUAAUUUCUGCUCUGUGAAUUCCAACAUCAUUACCAGUUACAGGAGCCACCAUAUAGUUCAUACUGGAAGGUCUUGCUACCAACUGCCCCUGAAUUGGUGCACCAGAAACCAUGGCCACAUUUGCACAUAUUUCUUCUUCAUUUAAACUCAGGCCCAUGUAUUGAGAGAGCUCUGGAUAUAAUUUGGGAUAGAGAUUUCCAUUUUGAGAGAUGGGAGCAGAAGCUUCUGACAAAAUUGCUGGAUUGGCAGAGUUUGUAGAAAAAGUAGUUUGAGCCCCAAUUACUUUGUCUACCUUCAAGUUUUCAAGAGAUGGAUAGAGAGACAUUUUUGCAGGGUUCUUCUAGCCCACAGGGACCCACUUGCC